GCAUAUCCAAUAAGCGGAGGAAAAGAAACCAACAGGGAUUGCCCCCAGUUAACGGCGAAGUGAAGCGGCAACAGCUCAAAUUUGAAAUCUGGCCCCCAGGGCCCGAGUUGUAAUUUGCAGAGGAUGCUUUUGGCGCGGCGCCUUCCGAGUUCCCUGGAACGGGACGCCAUAGAGGGUGAGAGCCCCGUCUGGUCGGACGCCAAGCCAGUGUAAAGCUCCUUCGACGAGUCGAGUAGUUUGGGAAUGCUGCUCUAAAUGGGAGGUAUAUGUCUUCUAAAGCUAAAUAUAGGCCAGAGACCGAUAGCGCACAAGUAGAGUGAUCGAAAGAUGAAAAGCACUUUGAAAAGAGGGUUAAACAGUACGUGAAAUUGUUGAAAGGGAAGCACUUGUGACCAGACUUGGGCCCGGUGAAUCAUCCAGCGUUCUCGCUGGUGCACUUCGCCGGGCCCAGGCCAGCAUCAGUUCGCCGCGGGGGAUAAAAGCUUCGGGAACGUAGCUCCCUCGGGAGUGUUAUAGCCCGUUGCAUAAUACCCUGCGGUGGACUGAGGUUCGCGCUCCGCAAGGAUGCUGGCGUAAUGGUCACCAGUGACCCGUCUUGAAACACGGACCAAGGAGUCGUCUUCGUAUGCGAGUGUUCGGGUGUCAAACCCCUACGCGUAAUGAAAGUGAACGCAGGUGAGAGCUUCGGCGCAUCAUCGACCGAUCCUGAUGUUCUCGGAUGGAUUUGAGUAAGAGCAUACGGGGCCGGACCCGAAAGAAGGUGAACUAUGCCUGUAUAGGGUGAAGCCAGAGGAAACUCUGGUGGAGGCUCGCAGCGGUUCUGACGUGCAAAUCGAUCGUCAAAUAUGGGCAUGGGGGGCGAAAGACUAAUCGAACCUUCUAGUAGCUGGUUUCCGCCGA
Molecule: ribosomal RNA, 900 nt
Filed under: Tolypocladium inflatum
Lineage: Eukaryota; Fungi; Ascomycota; Sordariomycetes; Hypocreales; Ophiocordycipitaceae
Description: LSU rRNA
Rfam family: Eukaryotic large subunit ribosomal RNA
Source: RNAcentral